GUUCUCGUAGGAUAAUUGAAGCUUAACCAAAAAGAGCAAGCAGGAAUUCCUGCUUGCUCUUUUUUUUUAUUU
Molecule: small RNA, 72 nt
Filed under: Paenibacillus sp. P22
Lineage: Bacteria; Bacillati; Bacillota; Bacilli; Caryophanales; Paenibacillaceae
Description: ctRNA
Source: RNAcentral